Molecule: long non-coding RNA, 1935 nt
Filed under: Heterocephalus glaber (naked mole-rat)
Lineage: Eukaryota; Metazoa; Chordata; Mammalia; Rodentia; Bathyergidae
Description: lncRNA (ENSHGLG00100047943.1)
Source: RNAcentral
UGAUAAAUAAAAGUAUUUUUGAGGGUUGAAAAAGUAUUUUGAUUUUUUUCACAAAUGCAAUAUUUAAUGGAGUGGAGUGUGAAUUAAUUCAGUACCUGGAGUAUAUAGGGUUAAUGUAAUUCAAAACCAGGAGCCUUGUACACAAGUAAGGAAGAAGAAGAGGAUAGAAGUAGAGAGUGAAAGACUAGAGAAAGCUAAGGAAAGGGUGGAAAGAUAGGACGGAAAAAGAAAGCAAUGAAGAUAUAUAACAGAUAUACUGAUGUGGCUUCUGGGGCAGGGAGAUGGAGGAGAAAGACUCUUGAAAGGCUGAAGGAAGACAUAAAGACAAAUACCAGGGAGAGUCACUGCUCCCAUGGCUGAAGCCCACCCCGACAGACCCCGUCAUCGGCAAGGCCACAGCUUGCGUGGAGGUCACCACAACCUGACACAGAGGCCCUUCUGCAAGGACAUCGGCAGUGACUGUCUCUUCCACUUCAGACUGACAGUUUUGUUACUCGUCAUCAUACCCAAAGGUUAUUGUCCCCAAAUGUCUCAUCCAAUCGUCCUAAGUUUUGUCUUUAACCCUUCCCUCUGUCUCAAACCCCUUGGAUACACCCAGAGUUUAUUACACAAGUGAACGCCCUUGCAAUGCUAUCCCUAAAUAAACAUCAUUAUUCCUUGGAGAAUCUGAGGUGUUUGUUUAGGGUGAUGCUCAGGAAGACGGUUAAAUUAAUAUUCUCAGGACACUGUCAGACAAAUAUGCUUCACAGGAAAUAAGAACAUUUUUAUUAUGAGAUCCCCUGGUAACAUUAAAACCACUUGAAUAAAAAAAAAAUCAGUAAGACGUUGGGAGUGGAGAAGCUCUGGGGCUUGGACCAGUUCAAGGCCUGUGAGAAGGGGAAGACAUUGGCCUUUCUGAACUCCCCACACUGCUUUCUUAGUCUGCAGCACUACACGGCAGGCGAGUCAGGAAGCACGGCUGUGCAUCUCGCUGUCAUUUAUUUUUCUCCUGUAUCCCUCAGCGCACAAAUAUUUGGAGGAAUGACAGGAAGCAUUGUGAGCCGAGUGCACCUGCAGAGGACAUUUCAUACAUUCCUUUCUGGACGUUUUGUUAUUUUCCUCCAAGCUGAUAUCCUUUCCAUUCUUCACAGGAAAGUUCAUGAAGCAUUUCAAAAGCAUAAACAUUUCAGGUUCAACACUUUUGGUCCUUCAGUUGUAAUAUAGUUAUAAAUCUAAAAUGGAACCAACAUCUAAAAGCUGCAAUUUACGAAAGUGCCUUCUGUUUAUACCCUCAGCCCAAUCAGGUAGAUGAGAAUCAUUCUUUAUCUUUUCUUUCAGCACAGAAACUGAACCCAGGUCCUCAUGCGUGCCAGGCAAGCGCUCUCAUCCCCACUCCAUGAGGGGCAAUGUCCCCAACUCUCCUAGCUUACAGAUCACACAAAAGCAAUGUGGUUGCAUUUUUCUGGGGAUAGAACAGAAACAUCCUCCAAGUACAUUUGCCAAAUACACUGAAGUAAUCAAGGUAAAUAAUUCCUACAGUGUGAUUAUCACAAUUAUGGGUAGCCAAUGCUUUUUUUGGAUUAUGAAUCAUUUUAAUAAAUAAUAUGGCUUUUGAUUGUCUCGAAGUUUUUCUGUUUAGUGGCUUAAAGACUGAGGUUCAACACUAUGACAAGAGUGGCUUCAGUCACCUGGUUGGGAAUUGAUGCUGGGGACUGGCGGGGCUCUGGUUUGUCUUGAUCCCACAGCACCUGUCUUUUAUGAUGGGAUCUGAGCUCUUCACUCACCAGGAUGCAGAGGAGGGGGGACUCAUGCUGAGAAGAAGCACCGAGCUGGCAGGGCUGCAGUGUGGCUCGGAUUUUCAGGACCCUUCCUACUUUUUCUGGACUGAGCUUAAACUGAGUGGCUCGGGGCCGGUCAUCGACAAACUCCUUGUCUGCAUUGGCCAGGACACGAUGG